GCCAGGCAUGGUGGCUCAUGCCUGUAAUCCCAGCAUUUUGGGAGGCCGAGGCAGGUGGAUCACCUGAGGUCAGGAGUUUGAGACCAACCUGGCCAACAUGGUGAAAUCCUGUCUCUA
Molecule: unclassified non-coding RNA, 117 nt
Organism: Callithrix jacchus (white-tufted-ear marmoset)
Lineage: Eukaryota; Metazoa; Chordata; Mammalia; Primates; Cebidae
Rfam family: Metazoan signal recognition particle RNA
About the family: The signal recognition particle (SRP) is a universally conserved ribonucleoprotein. It is involved in the co-translational targeting of proteins to membranes. The eukaryotic SRP consists of a 300-nucleotide 7S RNA and six proteins: SRPs 72, 68, 54, 19, 14, and 9.
Source: Ensembl